This 702-nucleotide long non-coding RNA is filed under the name Phoenix dactylifera (date palm). RNAcentral describes it as "long non-coding RNA (PDAC_LNC000040)". The record is from RNAcentral. Lineage: Eukaryota; Viridiplantae; Streptophyta; Magnoliopsida; Arecales; Arecaceae.
AAGUAGGAAAGAUUGUUCGCUUUGGCUAAUAAAAAGAAUGUCAUAUGGUUCUAUUAGCAUGGACUAUUCUCUUUUCAAUAAUUUAAACUUUUAGAUUGAGAGUCCGUGAUAUUUAGUAGGCAUGGUCAGAUUUGCAUUAGAUUUACAUCAUAUAUCAAGAUUUCAUUAGAUCCAUCAAUGAGUUUUGUAGUCUAUGUGUCAUCCCAUAAUUGAUCCACUUAUUCGUUUAAAUCUAAAUUUGUUGCCGUCCAAAAUUCGACGCGAUGGAGUUGGUGAAUUAAUUGGCGUCGGCUGGUCGACUUGAAGUGAAAGUCUGACAUGCGAGCAAAGAAAGAAUUAGAAAUUGCCGGACUUAAUCAGACAGAGGCCCUUCAAUGCCUAAGUCGGGCAACGUUUUGGUGGAACAGCAGAGGAGAGAAGAUCUGAAAGUAGGAGCUAUGAAAAAUGAGGUACGAAAGAGGUCUCCAUACUAGAGUUUUCUUGUCUCUAUUUAUAGAGAAACGAAGGCAUGGUUCCAUUAUGCAUUGGCUCCAAAAUCAACGGAUGAGCUGUAACCUUCCAUUCUUAUCUACGCUCCUUACUCGCGUGGAGUUGUAACCACUCCUUUCAAUCCAUCCAAAUGUUAAUGUAUGUUCCACAUGUCGCUUCGCUAUUGGAUGAUAUAUUAGAACGAUAGAGAUAGUGGGUAUCAAAUUUGGAUCU